CCCGACAUAUGAAAAUAUUAAGGGUAAAUUCGUAAUUUUAAAGGUUUGAAUGACCUCUCCCUUCUAACCUGAUUCCAGAUUUCUUCAUCUCUCUUCCUACUAUUUUCUCUCUCCUCCUGCAAUUCCUUUGGGCUUUUCUCAUCUUCCCUCGAGUUCACCGCGUCCUUCGCAUCCCAACCUUUGAAUCUUCUCCUUUAUUUAAUUUUCGUCAAUCUGUUGCUGAAUGUCAAGGACAACAACAAACCAUAACACCAACAGAAGCAAUCAAAGCACAUGAUAGAAACAGCAGCUUAGUAAGCAAAUCUGGUUGCAACUUCAGCUGAUUGACUGUAGUACCAAGUCAAUAUGAGUCAACUUGUGCAAUUGCAAGUUGCCAGAACAGUGCGAGAUACUUUUAUUUACUUUUGAAUUUUUUUGUAUUUUACUUUACUUUUAUUUUAUUCUUUUUACAAAACUUUACAUAGAAAUUAUAAAUGGUUAUCCACCAUUCUAGAUUUAAAUACUAUGACCUAUGUAGGAUUUGAACCUACAUCCAUAUGCAAUUGCACAUUGCUCUACCAUUUGAGCUAAUAGGUUUUCACAAAAUAUUUAAGAGAAAUGUAUAUUUGAAAGUUUCAUUAUUAUUUAGUUCACUUUUAGAGAUA
Long non-coding RNA from Spinacia oleracea (spinach), 644 nucleotides. RefSeq lists it as uncharacterized. Lineage: Eukaryota; Viridiplantae; Streptophyta; Magnoliopsida; Caryophyllales; Amaranthaceae. The transcript is spliced from 2 exons. The record is from RefSeq and is a predicted model, not a curated record.